Callorhinus ursinus (northern fur seal) is the source of this 354-nucleotide long non-coding RNA. RefSeq lists it as uncharacterized. NCBI's taxonomy places the organism in Eukaryota, Metazoa, Chordata, Mammalia, Carnivora, Otariidae. The record is from RefSeq and is a predicted model, not a curated record.
AAGCUGUCUUUAGACAACCAAAGCAAGGCAUGUAUUCUCCACGACGCCUUUCGGACACAUGACAUCGCUGGGGAAGAGUUGGUUACUGGCCUGCCUACGGUGGGGCUGUCCUCAAUCAGAGUCCAACUGCAUGUUGUCAGGGAGUACAGCGCCACUUGGAACCUCUGUGGCUUCCUGGGUCUGUCCCAGCUGAAAGUGUGACUUUAGAAGUAACCUGCAAGCAUAUCUGGUCUGUGGAGCCACAUUGCCAGCCAUCAUCUGAAUCCCCCUGCGGGGAAGAUGGGAGCACAGCUUGUAAGUCCCAAACUGACGAGGUGACUGCCACUGGGAUGUGACGCUCAGUUUCUCCUUUUC